RNAcentral lists this long non-coding RNA (550 nucleotides) under Arabidopsis lyrata. RNAcentral describes it as "long non-coding RNA (ALYR_LNC001475)". The record is from RNAcentral. Lineage: Eukaryota; Viridiplantae; Streptophyta; Magnoliopsida; Brassicales; Brassicaceae.
GACCCAAUCCUUCGACGACAGGAGGUCCGUGAUAUUGGAAAUGGCGAGAUUGAUGAAUGUAAUUUUGAUUGAGAUGAGAAGAUGUUGCAGAAGAAGUAGCCAUGGAAGAGGCGGAGGAGGAUGAGGUAGCUUGAGCGUUGGAGUUUCGAAAGGGGAGCUUGAAUUUGCCCCGACGGCGACCAUCGGAACCGGAUUUUUCCUCCGUUAAUGCCAUCGGAGAAUCGGAUGUAAGGGGAAGGAUUAAACUGGAUUUGAUUGUGCUGGUUUCAAGUCCGGGUUGGUGUUUUUCGAUUAAGCGGAAGUCAUCAGAAGUGGAGAAGAAGAGGUAAAACGCAGAUAGGAAUAGCGUUUAACACGAUGGCGUUUUGGAUUCGCUUUAGGGUUUGACUGGUUUAAACGCAGCGGUUGCGGUUGCGGUUGUGGGAGUUUGCGGAAGCAGGCGAUUGCGGUUUCAAGCGUUAUUUAGCGUUUUGACCGAUUGGUUAAACGGUUGUAAACGGGUGCGUUUACGGGAGAUUUACGACUCGUUGAUCAGCGGAUACGAUAGCGG